Grammomys surdaster is the source of this 1002-nucleotide RNA transcript. It is a transcript of the gene named olfactory receptor 2A12-like, with no coding region annotated. The record is from RefSeq and is a predicted model, not a curated record. Lineage: Eukaryota; Metazoa; Chordata; Mammalia; Rodentia; Muridae. The transcript has a single exon.
AUGUGAGGGCCUUUGAUUUCUUCUCAUUUGGACAGGUAUGGCUCAGUAACAGGCAUGAGACCGCAGAAUUCCAGCAUAGUCACCGAGCUGGUCCUUGUUGGGUUUUCUGACCAACCCCAGACUGAGGUUCCCCUCUUCUUCUUCUUCUCUCUGGUCUACCUAGCCAACUGCUUGGGGAAUACAGCUGUUGUCACAUUAGUGGCUCUAGAUGUCUCUCUGCAGACACCCAUGUAUUUCUUCCUGUGCCACCUGGCUGUCCUCAAUGGAUUCUUCAGCAUGGUUGUGACUCCAAAGAUGCUCUUCAAUUUCCUUGCAAGCAGGAAGGUCAUAUCUUACCCAUUCUGCCUGGCUCAGACUUACCUCACCUUGUUCUUGGAGUCGACCGAGUGCUUUCUCCUUGCAGUGAUGGCCAUAGAUCGCUACGUGGCCAUCUGCUACCCACUGAGGUAUCUUCUGAUCAUGAGCUGGGCGGUGUGCACGGCACUGGCAGUGGCGGUCUGGGUCACAGGCUUUUGUGCCUCGGUUAUACCUCUCUGCUUCACGAUCCUCCCACUCUGUGGUCCUUAUGUUGUUGAUUAUCUUUUCUGUGAGCUGCCCAUCCUUCUGCACCUGUUCUGUGCAGAUACGUCUCUGCUGGAGGCCACGAUGGCCGUUGGAGGGGCUGGUACUGUGCUGUUCCCGUUCCUGCUGAUUGUUCUCUCCUACCUUCGCAUCCUGUUGGCUGUGAUAAGAAUAGACUCGGCUGAGGGCAGAAAAAAAGCCUUUUCAACCUGUGCUUCGCACUUGGCUGUGGUGAGCAUCUAUUACGGAACGGGGCUGAUCAGGUACUUGAGGCCCAAGUCGCUUUACUCCGCUGAGGGAGACAAACUGAUCUCUGUGUUCUACGCCAUCAUUGGCCCUGCGCUGAACCCGUUCAUCUACAGCCUUCGGAACAAGGAAGUGCAGGGCGCCUUGAGGAGAAUGGUCGAGAAAUACAAGAAAAGCACAAGAAUCGCCUUCUAG